GAGUUUGAUCUUGGCUCAGGAUGAACGCUAGCGGCAGGCCUAAUACAUGCAAGUCGAGGGGCAGCGCGGGUAGCAAUACCUGGCGGCGACCGGCGCACGGGUGCGUAACACGUAUACAAUCUGCCUUUAACAGGGGGAUAGCCCGGAGAAAUCCGGAUUAAUACCCCAUAAUAUAUUGAGUGGCAUCACUUGAUAUUGAAAGCUCCGGCGGUUAGAGAUGAGUAUGCGCCUGAUUAGUUAGUUGGUGAGGUAACGGCUCACCAAGACUUCGAUCAGUAGGGGAUCUGAGAGGACUACCCCCACAC
Molecule: ribosomal RNA, 305 nt
Filed under: uncultured Flavobacterium sp.
Lineage: Bacteria; Pseudomonadati; Bacteroidota; Flavobacteriia; Flavobacteriales; Flavobacteriaceae
Description: bacterial SSU rRNA
Rfam family: Bacterial small subunit ribosomal RNA
Source: RNAcentral